UACUGCCAGACUUGGAACCGGGAGAGGUAAGAGGUACUACAGGGGUAGGAGUGAAAUCUUGUAAUCCCUGUGGGACCACCUGUGGCGAAGGCGUCUUACCAGAACGGGUUCGACGGUGAGGGACGAAAGCUGGGGGCACGAACCGGACUAGAUACCCGGGUAGUCCCAGCCGUAAACGAUGCUCGCUAGGUGUCAGGCAUGGCGCGACCGUGUCUGGUGCCGCAGGGAAGCCGUGAAGCGAGCCACCUGGGAAGUACGGCCGCAAGGCUGAAACUUAAAGGAAUUGGCGGGGGAGCACAACAACGGGUGGAGCCCUGCGGUUUAAUUGGACUCAACGCCGGACAACUCACCGGGGGCGACAGCAAUAUGUAGGCCAAGCUGAAGACUUUGCCUGAAUCGCUGAGAAGUGGUGCAUGG
This 417-nucleotide ribosomal RNA is filed under the name uncultured archaeon. RNAcentral describes it as "bacterial SSU rRNA". It matches the Rfam family "Archaeal small subunit ribosomal RNA", at positions 582 to 997 of the family's 1478-position model. The record is from RNAcentral.